CUCCCGCCCUCCCCUUGUUUCUUUCACCUUCGAUUUCGCUCUGGAAAGCCCCUGGGACCCAAGGGCGCUGCUGGAAGACAGCCCAAAGGGGUAGCUGGAGUGCGCCCGGGGAGAGGGAGCUAGAGGAGAAACGAGACCGAAAAGGGUGAGGUCGCUCGCCCGGCGGCUGCCUGGUGGCGCCUGGCACCGGUUCCAUCUCACCCCCAGCGCUGCGUGUGCCAGGCGCUGCCAGGCUAAGUCCGGUCAGCUGGAGAGACUUCUGGGGACCGGGAGAGAAAGAACAGUUUUUAAAAUCCUGUCAGUUGUCCCAUCAAUGUCCUCUGGAUCUGUGUGCUUACAUGCUGUUACUGUGCUUACAUGCUGACUCUGGAUUCGAGUACACGGGAGGAGGAGCACCCUACAGACAGAUGUGUGAAUCUCCACUACAAUGGCAGCGUCAGCAGGGCAGGGACCUUAUCAGUCUUGUUUUCCACGUCAUACUCAGAGCCUUCUGAACAGGUAGAAGAAACUAAAAAAAAAAAGUUGACAAUCAACAAAUGAACAAAUACAUAUGCUCAGCAGCAGCUGUAUAACUGUAAAUCCACACAUUUUCAUCGCGAGAGAAGAGGGCAGACUGAUGUGUUGCCGAUGUUAACGAUAUUGAAGAAUUAACAAAGGAGAGAAGGAGGAAAGAAUGAAGCCGGUCCUCUUGUCAUCUGUUGGCUCAGUAUCCAUCUGUGUCGUUCGUUCUGUAAAAUUUCCCUUGAGAUAAAAAUGCUGAAAGACAGCUUCAUUCCUUUCGUGCUCCAGACUUUUGCAAAACACCUGCUCCAUCAACGAACGUCACUCAAGGAAGUUACUAAAAUGGAACCAUAAACCAGAGGGCAAUGCAUUCCUCUUUUCUACCACCAGAUGCACAUCAUAGAACUAUUGCUCACAAGAAGGACGCUUGUAAUUUCGUAUGUGAUCAUCGAGGAACAGAUGGAGAGUGAUUAUGUGGUCUCUGUCCUGCUGACUGUUUUAAAGCAAAUAAAUGUUAAUCUG
This is a non-coding RNA of Equus caballus (horse), 1023 nucleotides long. The record is from RefSeq and is a predicted model, not a curated record. Lineage: Eukaryota; Metazoa; Chordata; Mammalia; Perissodactyla; Equidae.